Molecule: long non-coding RNA, 755 nt
Organism: Homo sapiens (human)
Lineage: Eukaryota; Metazoa; Chordata; Mammalia; Primates; Hominidae
Gene: FAM138C
Product: family with sequence similarity 138 member C
Source: Ensembl
CUCUCUUCUCCCUGAAGCUAGAGUGAGGUCCCUCUUGGCAGCCUUUGUAUCUAGAGAGAGCCGUCCAAUAGAAACAUAAGAGACAAAGUCUCACUAUGUUGCUCAGGCUGGUCUUGAACUCCUGGCCUCAAGCGAUCCUCCCACCUCAGCCUCCCAAAGUGUUGGGAUUAUAGACAUGAGCCACUGCACCUGGCCGACCUUGGGCAAGUUCUUAAACCCUUCAAAGCCUCAUUUUUCUCCAAUCACAAAAGGGAAAGAUGGUAAUAUUUUCCCCACCAAAUUCUUGUCGGAUGCCCUCACAGAAUUGAGAUUAUGUACGUAAAACACCAGGUGCCUAACCCGGCACAGAGCAGGAGGGCUAAGCGUGACAUCCAGCACGUGGUCAGUGGAAUCCAGUAUUCCUACCCACCUCUCUAGUCUCCCCUCCACCCCUCUCCCUUUCAGAGGCACCAAGCUGCUUGUGGUCUUGUCUAUUCCCACUCCCUGCCUGACUGAACAUUUUCUCCACCUCCUGAUCAUCAGCAGCAGAAACUGGCUGCUCUUCCUCCUGGGUAGACAGCCAGACUGUAUUUCCCAGCUGCCCCUGCAGUGAGAUGUGGCCAUCGGAGCCAGCAUUGGCCAAUGGACUCUGCAUGGGAGUGACGCAUGCUGCCUCCAGGCUUGUCUCUAAAACCUCCCACGUGUCCUCCGCCUGCUCUUCCCACCUCCAAGGAGCACGGCAAUUGUGGAAGACCCAGAUUAGUGAUGGCAGAACC